This 240-nucleotide unclassified non-coding RNA is filed under the name soil metagenome. RNAcentral's name for it is "partial contains 5.8S ribosomal RNA, internal transcribed spacer 2, and large subunit ribosomal RNA". The record is from RNAcentral.
AACAAGGCGUACCUGCGGACCUGCGGAGGGAUCAUUACAGAGUGUUUAACCCCCUAUAAAAUGGUGGGUCUAACCUCCCGUCCUUUGCUGGGUCCCCCUUCUGGAGGACUUUCAAAACUUUCUGCUUCGGCGGGGUAUACCCGCCGGAACACCCUCAAAAAAUUCUUGAUCAAAAUGGUUCGGUCCGAGAAACUUUUUGUGAAAAUUAGCGAAAAACUUUCAACAACGGAUCUCAGAUCG